GAUGAACGCUAGCGGCAGGCCUAACACAUGCAAGUCGAGGGGCAGCACAAAGAUAGUUUACUAUUUUGGUGGCGACCGGCGCACGGGUGAGUAACGCGUAUGCAACCUACCUUAUACAGGAGUAUAGCCCGAAGAAAUUCGGAUUAAUCCUCCAUAGUAUUUUCUAAUGGCAUCAUUUGGAAAAUUAAAGCUUCGACAGUAUAAGAUGGGCAUGCGUCCUAUUAGCUAGAUGGUAAGGUAACGGCUUACCAUGGCAACGAUAGGUAGGGGGCCUGAGAGGGUGAUCCCCCACACUGGUACUGAGACACGGACCAGACUCCUACGGGAGGCAGCAGUGAGGAAUAUUGGGCAAUGGAGGCAACUCUGACCCAGCCAUGCCGCGUGCAGGAAGAAUGCCCUAUGGGUUGUAAACUGCUUUUAUUUAGGAAUAAACCCUUCUACGUGUAGAAGGCUGAAUGUACUAAACGAAUAAGCACCGGCUAACUCCGUG
RNAcentral lists this ribosomal RNA (490 nucleotides) under uncultured bacterium. RNAcentral's name for it is "bacterial SSU rRNA". It matches the Rfam family "Bacterial small subunit ribosomal RNA", at positions 28 to 507 of the family's 1533-position model. The record is from RNAcentral.